RNAcentral lists this ribosomal RNA (80 nucleotides) under Enterococcus faecium. RNAcentral's name for it is "partial 16S ribosomal RNA". It matches the Rfam family "Bacterial small subunit ribosomal RNA", at positions 1 to 80 of the family's 1533-position model. RNAcentral also lists the same sequence under 1 other name. Lineage: Bacteria; Bacillati; Bacillota; Bacilli; Lactobacillales; Enterococcaceae. The record is from RNAcentral.
UUUUAUGAGAGUUUGAUCCUGGCUCAGGACGAACGCUGGCGGCGUGCCUAAUACAUGCAAGUCGUACGCUUCUUUUUCCA